RNAcentral lists this ribosomal RNA (516 nucleotides) under uncultured bacterium. Its description in RNAcentral is "bacterial SSU rRNA". It matches the Rfam family "Bacterial small subunit ribosomal RNA", at positions 15 to 518 of the family's 1533-position model. The record is from RNAcentral.
GAUUCUGGCUCAGGACGAACGCUGGCGGCGUGCCUAACACAUGCAAGUCGAGCGGGGACAUGCGACGGAUAGGAAGAUUCGGUUGGACUUGAAGAUGCAUUGUCUAGCGGCGGACGGGUGAGUAACGCGUGAGCAACCUGUCCCUUACAGGGGGAUAACACAGCGAAAGUUGUACUAAUACCGCAUGAGACCACGGGAGGACAUCCUCCAGGGGUCAAAGGAGCAAUCCGGUAAGGGGUGGGCUCGCGUCCGAUUAGAUAGUUGGUGAGGUAACGGCCCACCAAGUCGACGAUCGGUAGCCGACCUGAGAGGGUGAUCGGCCACAUUGGGACUGAGACACGGCCCAAACUCCUACGGGAGGCAGCAGUGGGGAAUAUUGGGCAAUGGGGGGAAACCCUGACCCAGCAACGCCGCGUGAGGGAAGAAGGUUUUCGGAUCGUAAACCUCUGUCCUUGGUGAAGAGGAAGAGACGGUAGCCAAGGAGGAAGCCCCGGCUAACUACGUGCCAGCAGCGGC